Molecule: long non-coding RNA, 229 nt
Organism: Magnolia sinica
Lineage: Eukaryota; Viridiplantae; Streptophyta; Magnoliopsida; Magnoliales; Magnoliaceae
Exons: 3
Source: RefSeq, a predicted model, not a curated record
CAAGGAAUAAAGUCAAUCAGGCAAAGCUAAAAGGACCUGCAUGUCUUGGGAGGCGUAGCAUGGCUGUUACUCGCCAUCAGAUGGCGAUGGAGAGGAAUCUUACCUCUGAUGCCGAGAUAGGUAGAGGUGAUGUCUACUUAAGAGCCCAUACGAGCAAGGACAAAGUCGUCCAGUAUCCUGACCUUGUUCAAAAACUAGAUGAGCUUUAUAGUAGCAAUCCUGCUUCUAA